This 274-nucleotide ribosomal RNA is filed under the name Clostridioides difficile. RNAcentral's name for it is "partial 23S ribosomal RNA". It matches the Rfam family "Bacterial large subunit ribosomal RNA", at positions 284 to 561 of the family's 2925-position model. Lineage: Bacteria; Bacillati; Bacillota; Clostridia; Peptostreptococcales; Peptostreptococcaceae. The record is from RNAcentral.
UUUCUUUAUUGGGGUUGCGGACAUAUCAUAACGAAGAGGUAUCGUAAUUGAAGAGGUUUGGAAAGACCCACCACAGAAGGUAAUAGUCCUGUAUGUUAAACGAGAAGACUUUAGAUAUGAUCCAGAGUACCACGGGACACGUGAAACCCUGUGGGAAGCAGGAGGGACCCCCCUCCAAGGCUAAAUACUACCUAGUGACCGAUAGCGUAUAGUACCGUGAGGGAAAGGUGAAAAGAACCCCGGGAGGGGAGUGAAAUAGAACCUGAAACCCUGC